Molecule: small RNA, 397 nt
Filed under: Arabidopsis thaliana (thale cress)
Lineage: Eukaryota; Viridiplantae; Streptophyta; Magnoliopsida; Brassicales; Brassicaceae
Description: ATSL006020
Source: RNAcentral
AAUAGUAAAUCAUAUACCCAUUAAUCCCAAACCCGAACGGGUUCUACAUGAACUCGAAUGGGUUACUCAUAUGUCCAGCCCUAUUCUCUGAUUUAAUUAUCUAAAAAAUCCCAAUAAACAUAUGUUUUGGUGAGUACUUUUUAUUCAAAAAAAUUUACAUCCUCUUCUGCCAAAAUCAUUUCAUAAGACAUCCCAAAAUCUUUGGAAUAAUGAUUCCAUGAAUGAAGAAUCCUAAUUUGAAUAUACCAAGAGGUUUUGAAAGGUUUUAAGUUUUUGAUAGGUGUGUAUGUGAGAAGGUACAUCCAUCGUGAUGGUAAUCUGCUUAUUUAUAAUUUUAACUUGCAUUAUACAGCAGAUAGGCUUAUAUUUUAGUUAAACUAAAAACUUUUAUUGUAAA